AGCUUUGUGCAGUAGUAAUAUUGUAACCAAUGAGGUUUAUCUGAGGUGCAAUUAUUGCUGUUAAAAAAAUAAAAAGGAAAAAGAUGACUUUACAAGCAACUAACUAACUUCUCUAAUAUUAAGGACAAU
Sarcophilus harrisii (Tasmanian devil) is the source of this 129-nucleotide small nuclear RNA. Its record names the gene U4. It matches the Rfam family "U4 spliceosomal RNA". Rfam says of the family: U4 small nuclear RNA (U4 snRNA) is a component of the major U2-dependent spliceosome. The structure of U4 snRNA from yeast and human has been reported. The record is from Ensembl. NCBI's taxonomy places the organism in Eukaryota, Metazoa, Chordata, Mammalia, Dasyuromorphia, Dasyuridae.